GUGAAUCAUCAAAUUUUUGAACGCAAAUCGCGCUUCCUGGUAUCCCGGGAAGUAUGCCUGUUUGAGGGUUAGUAUUAACAAAAAAUCGGUUUGGUUGCAAAUUGUGACGUUUACGGAGUUUGGGUGAUCUUAACUUUUUUGGUUAAGGGGCUUAUAAUUGACCUUUUUUGCGCAUUUUUAGACGUACAUAAAUUUUUUUUUAUUCGACUAUUUUUAAUGCUUAAAUCUUAUUAGAUGCGAUCUCAUCGUGUG
RNAcentral lists this unclassified non-coding RNA (252 nucleotides) under Glomeraceae sp. RNAcentral describes it as "partial contains 5.8S ribosomal RNA and internal transcribed spacer 2". The stretch from base 1 to 71 matches the Rfam family "5.8S ribosomal RNA", at positions 84 to 154 of the family's 154-position model. Lineage: Eukaryota; Fungi; Glomeromycota; Glomeromycetes; Glomerales; Glomeraceae. The record is from RNAcentral.